AACGAACGCUGGCGGCAUGCCUAACACAUGCAAGUCGAACGAGACCUUCGGGUCUAGUGGCGCACGGGUGCGUAACGCGUGGGAACCUGCCCUUAGGUUCGGAAUAACUCCCCGACAGGGGUGCUAAUACCGGAUAAUGUCUUCGGACCCAAGAUUUAUCGCCUUUGGAUGGGCCCGCGUUGGAUUAGCUAGUUGGUAGGGUAAAAGCCUACCAAGGCGACGAUCCAUAGCUGGUCUGAGAGGAUGAUCAGCCACACUGGGACUGAGACACGGCCCAGACUCCUACGGGAGGCAGCAGUGGGGAAUAUUGGACAAUGGGCGAAAGCCUGAUCCAGCAAUGCCGCGUGAGUGAUGAAGGCCUUAGGGUUGUAAAGCUCUUUUACCCGGGAUGAUAAUGACAGUACCGGGAGAAUAAGCGCCGGCUAACUCCGUG
Molecule: ribosomal RNA, 433 nt
Filed under: uncultured bacterium
Lineage: Bacteria
Description: partial 16S ribosomal RNA
Rfam family: Bacterial small subunit ribosomal RNA
Source: RNAcentral